CUAAUGGUAUGCAACGAAUAGCUCAAACAAUUGUAUACAGAGAAGCAAGCCAAGCCAAGUGUGAGCGAUAAGUGAUUGUGAGACAUAUUCACACUCAUUAUUACACAAGCAAACCAUGUGAUUGUGAGAAGAUAAUAUUUUUAGUGAGAGCAAGUGUAAGUGAACAUUGGGGUGAUUCAUGAAUAUGAGAGUGUAUUCAUAAGCCAAGUAUUCACUGCAGAUCACUGAUUUCCACUUGCGAAUUUAUAAAAUUCGUUUCGCCUCAACUGUCAAAAUUUGGCGAACGUUUUUUCGACUCGAGAGUGUAAUUAAAAAUGCAGAAAACAAUAAAACGAACUACUCAGAAGCAAUUUGAGGUAAUGGUGAAGUUGCUGGAAAGAAAUCCUGAGUUAGCCAGAGGAAUGACGCCGUUUGGUUCCACAAAAAAAAAAGUGAGUGUGCUUAUGACCGCACGACUGAAGUAAAACUUCUUUCUCUCUAUCUUUAUGUAUAUAUAUGAAUGUGUGUGUGCAAUAUAUACAUGUAUGCACAUAUACAUAUAUUAAUUUCCUACAAAUAUUUAAAUUUAUUUUAUGUUUUCAUUAGUAAAUUAAUAUUUUUGCAUAGAUCUUUUAUUUUUUUUUUCAUUGUUUUAUUCGUUAUUUUCAUUAUUGGGUACAUCAGUAAUUACUGUGGUUGGUUGUAAAACCGAGACAAUAGGCUUAUGAUACGAGAAAUACGAUACAUAUAUUUUAGAAUUAAAAUUAGACAGAAAUCUAGAAAAAACGGCAUCGAUUGUUGUUCCAUGUCUUGUAGUUGGCUCAUUACGGUCAUUAUUCAUUUGUAAUUCUAAUUUAUCUCGUAGAAAGUUUAUCAAAAGUUGUCCAUUUUCGGAUGCGAAAUUGAUAUUGAAAUCUGCUAAGGUUAGUGGCAACGUAGGAUAGUUUUCUCCUAGUUCUUCAGAACCUACUCGACCAUAAAUCAUAAGUCUUCUGUAUAUAAACUUUAUGAUAUUAUUAACUGUGUUAUUGGGCGAAAUGUAAACAACUACCAUUAUGAUGUUUGUUCCAUCGUCCAAAACACAGUGAGCAGCACAUAUAUGGCGACAGAAUCUAUAACAGCGCAGACACAGAUCGGAAGUUUUAAACAAAUAUUCAGUUGCGUUGAUUACUUUGCAAGUAAUAUAAGUGCAUAUGUAUGUAAAUGUAGUGUGUGUGUGUUAAUAAUAUAAAUUCUGAUUCAAGGAAAAAGUGAGUUUUGCAGUUCUCUGAUACAUACCACGAACUGCAAAACUCACUUUUUCCUUGAAUCAGCUCAUACGCAAAAGUUUCUAUUUAAGUCCAAUCACUAAAAGGUGUUUAAAACUUCCGAUCUGUGUCUGCGCUGUUAUAGAUUCUGUCGCCAAACAACUAGUAAAGGCCAAAUAAAUAGUUUGUACAAAAUCACAGGAUGCAAUUUGGCUCGCUCGUGUUUGUUCACGCACACACAACAACACUUUAUGAUUAUUAUUUUACCAAAAUAUGUUUUUCAAUUUGCGCUAAACAUUUACCAACUAUUUAUCAAGUUACUGUGGUAACAACGCUUGCAGUAUUUGUAUUUUAAUAUUUUUGCUUUUACUCGUCACUGGCAGCCAUUUCACAAAAUCCGUUGCAUUUGCCGAAAAUUUACCUUUUUACCUUUACUCGCGCACGUCUGCCGACAAACUGUGCUCAUACAGCUUAUACGCAAAAGUUUCUAUUUAAGUCCAAUCACUGUGCGUAUGAGCUGAUUCAAGGAAAAAGUGAGUUUUGCAGUUCUCUACAAUAUAUCCCCCACC
Molecule: long non-coding RNA, 1795 nt
Organism: Bactrocera dorsalis (oriental fruit fly)
Lineage: Eukaryota; Metazoa; Arthropoda; Insecta; Diptera; Tephritidae
Exons: 2
Source: RefSeq, a predicted model, not a curated record